GCCCCUGUAGCUCAGUGGAUAGAGCACCAGCCUUCUAAGCUGGGGGUCGAGGGUUCGAAUCCCUCCGGGGGCA
RNAcentral lists this transfer RNA (73 nucleotides) under Candidatus Aenigmatarchaeota archaeon. RNAcentral's name for it is "tRNA-Arg". It matches the Rfam family "tRNA". Rfam says of the family: Transfer RNA (tRNA) molecules are approximately 80 nucleotides in length. Their secondary structure includes four short double-helical elements and three loops (D, anti-codon, and T loops). Further hydrogen bonds mediate the characteristic L-shaped molecular structure. tRNAs have two regions of fundamental functional importance: the anti-codon, which is responsible for specific mRNA codon recognition, and the 3' end, to which the tRNAs corresponding amino acid is attached (by aminoacyl-tRNA synthetases). tRNAs cope with the degeneracy of the genetic code in two manners: having more than one tRNA (with a specific anti-codon) for a particular amino acid; and 'wobble' base-pairing, i.e. permitting non-standard base-pairing at the 3rd anti-codon position. Lineage: Archaea; Nanobdellati; Candidatus Aenigmatarchaeota. The record is from RNAcentral.